CAAAACAAAGCUUGAAAGUAAAGCGUCUCGUUUACGUUGAGAAGAGUUACUGUGCAAAUCAGUUUGUUUUGA
Molecule: transfer RNA, 72 nt
Filed under: Stemonopa insignis
Lineage: Eukaryota; Metazoa; Arthropoda; Malacostraca; Decapoda; Albuneidae
Description: tRNA-Val
Rfam family: tRNA
About the family: Transfer RNA (tRNA) molecules are approximately 80 nucleotides in length. Their secondary structure includes four short double-helical elements and three loops (D, anti-codon, and T loops).
Source: RNAcentral